Long non-coding RNA from Mus musculus (house mouse), 1126 nucleotides. RefSeq annotates it as RIKEN cDNA A930003A15 gene. The transcript is spliced from 2 exons. NCBI's taxonomy places the organism in Eukaryota, Metazoa, Chordata, Mammalia, Rodentia, Muridae. The record is from RefSeq and is marked validated.
AGAUGGUAAAUUCCCUUAGCAGCAGGCAGCAGUGCUAAGUUGGCUUCUGCUUUGGCAGCCUGGAGAGCUUGGAAGAAAAGCCGAGUUAAACUGACCUGACAGAAUAGUCUUCCAAAGAAUAUCUUUUCAUAAUUUUAUCCAUGUUUUAAAAUUGAAUUUAAUAAUUUUAAUCGUUUUAAUAAUUUAACCGAUGGCUUAUCUCAUAAUGCGAUGCUGUCUUCACCCCUCAGCACCCCUUCUGUUUCAAAAUGAGUUCUGGAAGUCUGUGGAAGCCUAAUCUGUCAGCACUCACUAAUCCCCAGGAUCAGCUCUCACAAAGAAGAAACCUUGAGUGAUCUUCAGGGAGAUUAGGUAGGAGGAGGUUUAACUAUACCAAUGCAGCCAGUACCUAGAGCAGGAUGGAGGCCAGAGAAGAUGGUGACCUUGCGUCCUGGAACUCCAUCUCUGUUCUGUGCAGGCAAUGCGAGGACCCAGACCCCAGAUACUCACCAUACAUGGUGGUGCGGAUAGCAGAGGCAGAGAUGAGGGCCUAUCAUCGUUUCUUGGGGAGCUGCACCAGCCUGGAAUACAGAGCAAAUAAAGCACUUCCAGUAAUCAGCACCUCUCCAAAGCUGGACACACGCCUGAUGCCUGCUGUGCUGCAGUCUGCAAACCAUCGAUAGAGUUCUGACAGCUGCCUGGUCCUUCCCUGCCAUCAACUAAGAGAUCCACAUGAAGUCUCCUCCUGGGCUGAUGGACAUAAAGAGAGUAAAUGUUCAGGGCUCAUGUUCACUGUGCUCUGCCAGGGCUGAGUUCUGGGGCCAGGUGCUGAGGUUCCUGUGGAGGGCUCAAAAGCCUUAAGGAACUUUGUGAGAGGGUGGAAGUGUUUCACUUUUGAUGUGUAUCAUGUCAUGAUUAUGUUAAUAUUUAGCAAUUGUACGCUUAAUGUUUGUGCAGUCUGCUUGUAUUCAACAAAAUUCUGUUAGUAUAAAAAUAAAAGGUACAGAGAGCACUUUUCAUUAUGUAAACUAAGGAAGUUUCAUGUUUCCAUCUCCCCACCUCUCUCCCUCUACCCUCUGUAUGUGUAACGUACACAGAUGCAUUCACCUGUGUGGGAAUGUGGAGAGAGUAAAAGUUGAUACCCAAA